RNAcentral lists this transfer RNA (68 nucleotides) under Neocyema erythrosoma. RNAcentral describes it as "tRNA-Phe". It matches the Rfam family "tRNA". From Rfam's summary of the family: Transfer RNA (tRNA) molecules are approximately 80 nucleotides in length. Their secondary structure includes four short double-helical elements and three loops (D, anti-codon, and T loops). The record is from RNAcentral. Lineage: Eukaryota; Metazoa; Chordata; Actinopteri; Anguilliformes; Cyematidae.
GUUGACGUAGCUUAAAAUAAAGCAUGCCACUGAAGAUGUCAAAAUGAAAAUUUAAAUUUCCGACAACA